Molecule: transfer RNA, 88 nt
Filed under: Rotheca serrata
Lineage: Eukaryota; Viridiplantae; Streptophyta; Magnoliopsida; Lamiales; Lamiaceae
Description: tRNA-Ser
Source: RNAcentral
GGAGGUAUGGCUGAGUGGCUUAAGGCAUUGGUUUGCUAAAUCGACAUACAAGAAGAUUUGAUCAUGGGUUCGUCUUGCAGAGCCUCCG